UCCGCGUUCACACAAUGGUGCAGCAUUUGUGUUUCCUGAGCAAAGAAUUUCAGGAAUCACAGACAAGACUGUGCCUAAGUGGAGACAGGUUGGCCAGCUCCUGCAUCCCGAAGGCCACCUGAAGGAGCAGCCGGCAUCAGCAGAGGCAGAGGGGAGAG
Molecule: long non-coding RNA, 158 nt
Organism: Gorilla gorilla gorilla (western lowland gorilla)
Lineage: Eukaryota; Metazoa; Chordata; Mammalia; Primates; Hominidae
Exons: 3
Source: RefSeq, a predicted model, not a curated record